Molecule: non-coding RNA, 114 nt
Filed under: Anaerolineae bacterium
Lineage: Bacteria; Bacillati; Chloroflexota; Anaerolineae
Description: TPP sequence
Rfam family: TPP riboswitch aptamer (THI element)
About the family: Vitamin B(1) in its active form thiamin pyrophosphate (TPP) is an essential coenzyme that is synthesised by coupling of pyrimidine and thiazole moieties in bacteria.
Source: RNAcentral
UCACAUAACAUGGGGAGCCCUUAAUCCUUGGGCUGAGAGGAGGGUUUAGAAGCCCUCGACCCGUUGAACCUGAUCCGGAUAAUACCGGCGUAGGGAUGGUUAUUUCGAAAUCAU